AGGCCGGGCAGGCGGGCGGGGACGCAGGGCGGGAGCAAGGCUGACCACAGACCCCCGCAGGCCGACACGCUCAAGGAGCGGUACCAGAAGAUCGGGGACACCAAACGCGCCACGCCCAUCGAGGUGCUCUGCGAGAACUUCCCAGAGGAGAUGGCCACGUACCUGCGCUAUGUGCGGCGCCUGGACUUCUUCGAGAAGCCCGACUAUGACUACCUGCGGAAGCUCUUCACCGACCUCUUCGACCGCAGUGGCUUCGUGUUCGACUAUGAGUACGACUGGGCCGGGAAGCCCCUG
Molecule: long non-coding RNA, 294 nt
Filed under: Homo sapiens (human)
Lineage: Eukaryota; Metazoa; Chordata; Mammalia; Primates; Hominidae
Description: long non-coding RNA NONHSAT060384.2
Source: RNAcentral